UACAGAGGGUGCGAGCGUUGUUCGGAAUUAUUGGGCGUAAAGGGCGCGUAGGCGGUGCGGUAAGUCACCUGUGAAAUCUCCUGGCUCAACUGGAGCUUGCAGGCGAAACUGCCGUGCUGGAGUGUGGGAGAGGUGCGUGGAAUUCCCGUGUAGCGGUGAAAUGCGUAGAUAGUCGGGAGGAACACCAGUGGCGAAGGCGGUUGCC
This 205-nucleotide ribosomal RNA is filed under the name uncultured bacterium. RNAcentral's name for it is "partial 16S ribosomal RNA". It matches the Rfam family "Bacterial small subunit ribosomal RNA", at positions 524 to 730 of the family's 1533-position model. The record is from RNAcentral.